Pristis pectinata (smalltooth sawfish) is the source of this 1073-nucleotide long non-coding RNA. RefSeq lists it as uncharacterized. The transcript has 3 exons. The record is from RefSeq and is a predicted model, not a curated record. NCBI's taxonomy places the organism in Eukaryota, Metazoa, Chordata, Chondrichthyes, Rhinopristiformes, Pristidae.
CGCAAAACUGUGUGUUUUGAUGUACAUGUGACUAGUAAAGAAAUCUUAAUCUUCAAGUGGGAUGGAAUUAAAAUAAAGAUCUCACUGAAUAGCAGAACAGACAGAAGCACUGAAUAGCAUACUCCCUUGUUCCUACAGGGCUGGAAGUAUGGUUGCAUUCAAGAUAGCUUCUGAAAUUCAUGUGGGGUGAACGGUAUCAAUCAACCUUCAAUCCCCAGUCUGCAUUAUUCUAGAAUGUACACAAGCACAUAAUGCUUUUGGAAAAGAUAACACUGAAGCCACUAAUUAUCCUGUCGACACAUCUCAUUGGCAGCUGCUUGACUCUGAGGAAAUAGCAUAAUUUGCCAGGACAGUAGGAUCCAUGGCCAGUUAUUUCAAUUUUACCACUCAUCUACAUACCAGGGACAAUUUACUACAGAGGCUGAUCAACUUACCAACUCGCACAUCUUUGGGAUGUGGGAGAAAACUGGAGCUCUCGGUGGAAGCCCAUGCAGUUAUAGGGAGAAUGUGCAAACCCCACACGAGCAGAACCCGAGGUCAGCAUUGAAACUGGAGCUGUGAGCCAGUGCCCCUAAUGGCUGUACCAUUGCACUGCACUGGAUUGAAAAACAAUGAACUGCAGACAUUGGAAAUUUGAAUAGAAACAUAAAAUACUGGAACCACGCAGAAUGCUAGGGAGCACCUGUGGAAAGCGAAACAGAGCUAAUAUUUCAAUUAAGAACCCUUUAUCAGAAUGGUGCUGGUUUUGCCAGAAAUAAUAGAGGUGAGCUAAUUAUUGUGUGCUGAAAUUAUGUACAGAUAAUGCAUAUUUUUGGAUGCAGGAUAGAUAUCCCAGCCAAGAAAUUCAUCUGCACAAUGGGAAAAAAAAGUGCAGUAAAAUUAAAAAUUGUGUUACUGUUGCAAUAAGCAAUUAAUGCAUGUUUCUUUAUGUCUUGGUGUCGGUCAUUAUCAUCAUACUUUCACUUAUGAACAAGAGUUUUGCAUUCACUAAUGGUGUUUCUUCAGCAUCAAACUUGUCCAGUGCCGUGAGCCCAAGAUUUGCCAUCAGUGAGAUUUUCAGCCGUGUUGGUCUG